GAUUUGGUAGUACAAUCGGUAGCACAUCAGAUCCAAGAUCUGUAGAUGCGGUUCAAACCCCAUCUAAAUUU
RNAcentral lists this transfer RNA (71 nucleotides) under Dictyocaulus viviparus (bovine lungworm). It matches the Rfam family "tRNA". Rfam says of the family: Transfer RNA (tRNA) molecules are approximately 80 nucleotides in length. Their secondary structure includes four short double-helical elements and three loops (D, anti-codon, and T loops). Further hydrogen bonds mediate the characteristic L-shaped molecular structure. tRNAs have two regions of fundamental functional importance: the anti-codon, which is responsible for specific mRNA codon recognition, and the 3' end, to which the tRNAs corresponding amino acid is attached (by aminoacyl-tRNA synthetases). tRNAs cope with the degeneracy of the genetic code in two manners: having more than one tRNA (with a specific anti-codon) for a particular amino acid; and 'wobble' base-pairing, i.e. permitting non-standard base-pairing at the 3rd anti-codon position. The record is from Rfam by way of RNAcentral. Lineage: Eukaryota; Metazoa; Nematoda; Chromadorea; Rhabditida; Metastrongylidae.